RNAcentral lists this ribosomal RNA (514 nucleotides) under uncultured bacterium. RNAcentral describes it as "partial 16S ribosomal RNA". It matches the Rfam family "Bacterial small subunit ribosomal RNA", at positions 28 to 523 of the family's 1533-position model. The record is from RNAcentral.
GAUGUACGCUGGCGGCGUGCCUAAUACAUGCAAGUCGAGCGAACAGAUGAGAAGCUUGCUUCUCUGAUGUUAGCGGCGGACGGGUGAGUAACACGUGGGUAACCUACCUAUAAGACUGGGAUAACUCCGGGAAACCGGGGCUAAUACCGGAUAAUAUUUUGAACCGCAUGGUUCAAUAGUGAAAGACGGUUUCGGCUGUCACUUAUAGAUGGACCCGCGCCGUAUUAGCUAGUUGGUAAGGUAACGGCUUACCAAGGCGACGAUACGUAGCCGACCUGAGAGGGUGAUCGGCCACACUGGAACUGAGACACGGUCCAGACUCCUACGGGAGGCAGCAGCAGGGAAUCUUCCGCAAUGGGCGAAAGCCUGACGGAGCAACGCCGCGUGAGUGAUGAAGGUCUUCGGAUUGUAAAACUCUGUUGUUAGGGAAGAACAAAUUUGUUAGUAACUGAACAAGUCUUGACGGUACCUAACCAGAAAGCCACGGCUAGCUACGUGCCAGCAGCCGCAGUAA